GAGUAGUCGACCUGAGAUGGA
This 21-nucleotide microRNA is filed under the name Rehmannia glutinosa. Its description in RNAcentral is "rgl-miR5573". Lineage: Eukaryota; Viridiplantae; Streptophyta; Magnoliopsida; Lamiales; Orobanchaceae. The record is from miRBase by way of RNAcentral.